RNAcentral lists this ribosomal RNA (454 nucleotides) under uncultured Cytophaga sp. RNAcentral's name for it is "partial 16S ribosomal RNA". It matches the Rfam family "Bacterial small subunit ribosomal RNA", at positions 341 to 792 of the family's 1533-position model. The record is from RNAcentral. Lineage: Bacteria; Pseudomonadati; Bacteroidota; Cytophagia; Cytophagales; Cytophagaceae.
ACGGGAGGCAGCAGUGAGGAAUAUUGGUCAAUGGGCGGAAGCCUGAACCAGCCAUGUCGCGUGCAGGACUACGGCCCUACGGGUCUUAAACUGCUUUUGCAAGGGGAUAAAGUGGGGCACGCGUGCCCCUUUGCAGGUACCUUGCGAAUAAGGAUCGGCUAACUCCGUGCCAGCAGCCGCGGUAAUACGGAGGAUCCGAGCGUUAUCCGGAUUUAUUGGGUUUAAAGGGUGCGCAGGCGGCACGUUAAGUCAGCGGUGAAAUGUCGGGGCUCAACCCGGGCACUGCCGUUGAAACUGGCGAGCUUGAGUACGGAUGAAGUCGGCGGAAUGUGAUGUGUAGCGGUGAAAUGCUUAGAUAUGUCACAGAACACCGAUUGCGAAGGCAGCUGACUAAUCCGCAACUGACGCUCAGGCACGAAAGCGUGGGGAUCGAACAGGAUUAGAUACCCUGGUA